Molecule: ribosomal RNA, 939 nt
Filed under: Laetiporus sulphureus
Lineage: Eukaryota; Fungi; Basidiomycota; Agaricomycetes; Polyporales; Laetiporaceae
Also listed under: 1 other name
Description: LSU rRNA
Rfam family: Eukaryotic large subunit ribosomal RNA
Source: RNAcentral
GGGGACUUAAGCAUAUCAAUAAGCGGAGGAAAAGAAACUAACAAGGAUUCCCCUAGUAACUGCGAGUGAAGCGGGAAAAGCUCAAAUUUAAAAUCUGGCAGUCUUUGGUUGCCCGAGUUGUAGUCUGGAGAAGUGCUUUCUGCGCUGGACCGUGUACAAGUCUCUUGGAACAGAGCGUCAUAGAGGGUGAGAAUCCCGUCUUUGACACGGACUACCAGUGCUUUGUGAUGCGCUCUCAAAGAGUCGAGUUGUUUGGGAAUGCAGCUCAAAAUGGGUGGUAAAUUCCAUCUAAAGCUAAAUAUUGGCGAGAGACCGAUAGCGAACAAGUACCGUGAGGGAAAGAUGAAAAGCACUUUGGAAAGAGAGUUAAACAGUACGUGAAAUUGCUGAAAGGGAAACGCUUGAAGUCAGUCACGUUGGCCAGAACUCAGCCUUGCUUUAAUGUUUGGUGCAUUUUCUGGUUGACGGGCCAGCAUCAAUUUUGACCGCUGGAUAAAGGCUGGAGGAAUGUGGCACCUUCGGGUGUGUUAUAGCCUCUGGUCACAUACAGUGGUUGGGAUUGAGGAUCUCAGCAUGCCUUUAUGGUCGGGGUUCGCCCACGUUUCAUGCUUAGGAUGCUGGCAUAAUGGCUUUAAACGACCCGUCUUGAAACACGGACCAAGGAGUCUAACAUACCUGCGAGUGUUUGGGUGGAAAACCCGAGUGCGUAAUGAAAGUGAAAGUUGAGAUCCCUGUCGUGGGGAGCAUCGACGCCCGGACCAGACCUUUUGUGACGGAUCUGCGGUAGAGCAUGUAUGUUGGGACCCGAAAGAUGGUGAACUAUGCCUGAAUAGGGUGAAGCCAGAGGAAACUCUGGUGGAGGCUCGUAGCGAUUCUGACGUGCAAAUCGAUCGUCAAAUUUGGGUAUAGGGGCGAAAGACUAAUCGAACCCAUCUUUGG